GACGAACGCUGGCGGCGUGCCUAAUACAUGCAAGUAGAACGCUGAAGAGAGGAGCUUGCUCUUCUUGGAUGAGUUGCGAACGGGUGAGUAACGCGUAGGUAACCUGCCUUGUAGCGGGGGAUAACUAUUGGAAACGAUAGCUAAUACCGCAUAACAAUGGAUGACACAUGUCAUUUAUUUGAAAGGGGCAAUUGCUCCACUACAAGAUGGACCUGCGUCGUAUUAGCUAGUAGGUGAGGUAAUGGCUCACCUAGGCGACGAUACAUAGCCGACCUGAGAGGGUGAUCGGCCACACUGGGACUGAGACACGGCCCAGACUCCUACGGGAGGCAGCAGUAGGGAAUCUUCGGCAAUGGGGGCAACCCUGACCGAGCAACGCCGCGUGAGUGAAGAAGGUUUUCGGAUCGUAAAGCUCUGUUGUAAGUCAAGAACGGGUGUGAGAGUGGAAAGUUCACACUGUGACGGUAGCUUACCAGAAAGGGACGGCUAACUACGUG
RNAcentral lists this ribosomal RNA (497 nucleotides) under uncultured bacterium. Its description in RNAcentral is "partial 16S ribosomal RNA". It matches the Rfam family "Bacterial small subunit ribosomal RNA", at positions 28 to 507 of the family's 1533-position model. The record is from RNAcentral.